RNAcentral lists this unclassified non-coding RNA (241 nucleotides) under uncultured Pseudogymnoascus. RNAcentral describes it as "sequence contains ITS2". The stretch from base 1 to 52 matches the Rfam family "5.8S ribosomal RNA", at positions 103 to 154 of the family's 154-position model. The record is from RNAcentral. Lineage: Eukaryota; Fungi; Ascomycota; Leotiomycetes; Myxotrichaceae.
AACGCACAUUGCGCCCCCUGGUAUUCCGGGGGGCAUGCCUGUCCGAGCGUCAUUACAACCCUCAAGCCCAGCUUGGUGUUGGGCCCCGCCGCCCCGGCGGGCCCUAAAGUCAGUGGCGGUGCCGUCCGGCUCCGAGCGUAGUAAUUCUUCUCGCUCUGGAGGUCCGGUCGUGUGCUCGCCAGCAACCCCCAAUUUUUUUCAGGUUGACCUCGGAUCAGGUAGGGAUACCCGCUGAACUUAA